UAUAUUGCACAAUGCGCGCAAGCCUGAUGCAGCGACGCCGCGUGAGGGAUGUACAUGUGCCUUCGGGUUGUAAACCUCUUUUAGCAGGGAAGAAGCGAAAGUGACGGUACCUGCAGAAGAAGCGCCGGCUUAACUUCGUGCCAGCAGCCGCGGUAAUACGUAGGGCGCAAGCGUUGUUCGGAAUUAUUGUGGCGUAAAGAGCUCGUAGUGCGGCUUGUCGCGUCGGUAUGUGAAAGCCCGGGGCUUAACCCCGGGUCUGCAGUCGAUACGGGCAGGCUAGAGUUCGGUAGGGGAGAUCGGAAUUCCUGGUGUAGCGGUGAAAUGCGCAGAUAUCAGAGAGGAACACCGGAUGGCGAAGGCGGAUCUCUGGCCUGAACCCUAAGCUGAGAAACCAUAGCGGUGCGAAGCGAACAGAU
This 416-nucleotide ribosomal RNA is filed under the name Streptomyces sp. RNAcentral describes it as "bacterial SSU rRNA". It matches the Rfam family "Bacterial small subunit ribosomal RNA", at positions 359 to 777 of the family's 1533-position model. Lineage: Bacteria; Bacillati; Actinomycetota; Actinomycetes; Kitasatosporales; Streptomycetaceae. The record is from RNAcentral.